This 301-nucleotide ribosomal RNA is filed under the name uncultured bacterium. RNAcentral describes it as "partial 16S ribosomal RNA". It matches the Rfam family "Bacterial small subunit ribosomal RNA", at positions 509 to 807 of the family's 1533-position model. The record is from RNAcentral.
CAGUCGCCGCGGUAAUACGUAGGGUGCAAGCGUUAAUCGGAAUUACUGGGCGUAAAGCGUGCGCAGGCGGUUCUAUAAGACAGAUGUGAAAUCCCCGGGCUCAACCUGGGAACUGCAUUUGUGACUGUAGAGCUGGAGUGCGGCAGAGGGGGAUGGAAUUCCGCGUGUAGCAGUGAAAUGCGUAGAUAUGCGGAGGAACACCGGUGGCGAAGGCAAUCCCCUGGGCCUGCACUGACGCUCAUGCACGAAAGCGUGGGGAGCAAACAGGAUUAGAUACCCCGGUAGUCCCUGUCUCUUAUAC